Molecule: ribosomal RNA, 460 nt
Filed under: uncultured bacterium
Lineage: Bacteria
Description: partial 16S ribosomal RNA
Rfam family: Bacterial small subunit ribosomal RNA
Source: RNAcentral
CCUACGGGAGGCAGCAGUGAGGAAUAUUGGUCAAUGGACGAGAGUCUGAACCAGCCAAGUAGCGUGAAGGAUGACUGCCCUAUGGGUUGUAAACUUCUUUUAUAUGGGAAUAAAAUGCUGCACGUGUGGGAUUUUGUAUGUACCAUAUGAAUAAGGAUCGGCUAACUCCGUGCCAGCAGCCGCGGUAAUACGGAGGAUCCGAGCGUUAUCCGGAUUUAUUGGGUUUAAAGGGAGCGUAGGUGGAUUGUUAAGUCAGUUGUGAAAGUUUGCGGCUCAACCGUAAAAUUGCAGUUGAAACUGGGAGUCUUGAGUACAGUAGAGGUAGGCGGAAUUCGUGGUGUAGCGGUGAAAUGCUUAGAUAUCACGAAGAACUCCGAUUGCGAAGGCAGCUCACUGGACUGCAACUGACACUGAGGCUCGAAAGUGUGGGUAUCAAACAGGAUUAGAUACCCUAGUAGUC